This is a long non-coding RNA of Dicentrarchus labrax (European seabass), 1679 nucleotides long. Lineage: Eukaryota; Metazoa; Chordata; Actinopteri; Moronidae. The record is from Ensembl.
GAUUGUUUUAACUUUAUAUGCUUUGUUCAACGUGAAUUGAAAGUGAUUGUGGAUGAUGUGGUUCACAGAGUACAAUGAGUCUGUGUAGCUGCUUUGGAUUCUUGCUGUUUGUCCUCCACAAUCUCCCAGGCACCACAGAGGAUUUCUUCCUAGAUUCGUCUCAUUCUGCUUUUCCCAUCACCUUCGGUUUGGGAGUCAUCUUCAUGUCUGUUAUUUUAGUCGUUUUUGCUGCAUAUAAAUGGAAACAAAACAAAAACAGAAACAAAGAGAGGGAGCACCUUAAGACAACUGAGAAGAAUUCAAUCAAGGCUUUCCAUACAGGACAAAGAGACAAUGAGACCAAGAAUUUGGAGGAUGAAAUUGAUGAAAUUCAGCCUCUCCGAGACCAGAAUCAGAGCAUGGAGAACGAGCUGCAGACCUUGAAGAGAGAGCUGGAGACCAACAAAAAACAGUUGGAGGAUAAAAUAGAUGAAAUGCAGCAUCUCCGAGACCAGAAUCAGAGCAUGGAGAAUGAGCUGCAGACCUUGACGAGAGAGCUGGAGACCAACAAAAAACAGCUGGAGAAACCUAAGAGUAUAAGAGACACCAUUGAAGGAAUGCGGGACUCUUUUUCACAACUGAAGUUCCACCUUGCCAAUCUCAGGAUGCGGAAAUUGGAGGAUGAAGUAGAUGAAAUUCAACAUCUCCGAGACCAGAAUCAGGGCAUGGAGAACAAGCUGCAGACCCCGAGGAGAGAGCUGGUGCAUGACAAAAAACAGUUGGAGGAUGAAAUCGAUGAAAUUCAGCAUCUCCGAGACCAGAAUCAGAGCAUGGGGAACGAGCUGCAGACCUUGAAGAGAGAGCUGGAGACCAACAAAAAACAGUCAGCUGACAAGGCCAGGGGGCAGACCUUUGAGGAGCUUAAGAACACCCAGUUUGAACUGGAGAAAAAGACUGCGGAGAUCAGGAACCUGCGGAGAGAGUUUGAUGACAGACUCAGGGAAGAGAAUCAGAGUAAAGAGAAAUGCCUGCAGACCCUGAAGGAGGAGCUGGAGAGCAAGAACAAGGAGCUUUGUGAGUCCAAGCUUCAGUUCGAAUCUCUCAUGAAGAAGAAUCAGGAGUUUGAGAGAAAGCUGACUGAACUUAGAGAGCUGCACAAGCAGGUGUUAAAGAAGAUGGUCGAGGAUGAGCAGCAGAGGACGGAGGAAGUACAAAAGGAAGUGGAGACCCUGAAGAUGGAGCUGGAGAAGAAGAAGGACGAGAAAAGCCAAGCAGGGGAGUCAGAUGUUCAGAAAUCUCUGAUAGUAUGUGACAGCUCUGGAGAAGAACAUUUAGUGUCAGAGGAACAGAGUAAAGCAGCGGAGAUGGCUGAAGAAUUACCAAAUGUUGCAAAAGAAGUUGUGAACUGACAAUCUGUACAACAAGCAGAAUCCAGUGAUUUGUUUGAUUUGGAGCUAUUAUGUACAUAUUCAGUGCAAAAGAAGUAGUGUGAUGCAGUUUGGGAAGUUUAAAUUGUUUGAUGACUGACUGCACUAAAAGUACAUAAACAAUUCUGAAAAAAAAAUAAAAACAUACUUGUAUUUAUACCUUAAACAGCCUUUUAAUAUAUAUGACUAUAAUAUAAUAUUCAUCACUGCUAUUUUUAAUUGCCUUACUCUAUGUUGUUACUGUAACAGUUUAAUAAAAUAAUUACUUCUGUG